This 431-nucleotide unclassified non-coding RNA is filed under the name fungal sp. Its description in RNAcentral is "partial internal transcribed spacer region". The stretch from base 1 to 46 matches the Rfam family "Eukaryotic small subunit ribosomal RNA", at positions 1786 to 1831 of the family's 1831-position model. Lineage: Eukaryota; Fungi. The record is from RNAcentral.
AAGUCGUAACAAGGUUUCCGUAGGUGAACCUGCGGAAGGAUCAUUAACACGUAUCCACGUAUAUACAUCUCUGCGAACUUAUUUUCUGUUCUAUAAGUUGGUUGGCCAGCGUAGCAAUGGAGGUAGAUGUUUACUAUGUCACAAAAAAACGAAUGGGAGGUUGAUCGUCACAUCUUCUCUGUACAUUCGUUUUUUUGGCGUUCUACCUGCCUAUCCGGAAAUGAAGUGACGGUCUUUUUUGAUCGGCACUUGUGUUUCUUGGGUAUUCUGGCUCAUAUGACUUGAAUCAUAGUAGUAUAUCUAUUCAACCUUUUUAUUAAUUUGUAAGAAUUUGUGAUGGCUGCUGAUUGAGAGGUGUAACAACUUCAACUUUCGCAGCUCACGUUAAAAAAACAUUAUACAACUCUUAGCAACGGAUAUCUCGGUUCUCC